RNAcentral lists this ribosomal RNA (37 nucleotides) under Ficus elastica (rubber plant). RNAcentral describes it as "partial 18S ribosomal RNA". Lineage: Eukaryota; Viridiplantae; Streptophyta; Magnoliopsida; Rosales; Moraceae. The record is from RNAcentral.
AUUGUCGAGACCCUGCCCAGCAGAAGGACCGGCGAAC